GAUGAAGAACGCAGUGAAAUGCGAUAAGUAAUGUGAAUUGCAGAAUUCAGUGAAUCAUCGAAUCUUUGAACGCACAUUGCGCCCGCCAGUAUUCUGGCGGGCAUGCCUGUCUGAGCGUCAUUUCAACCCUCAUGCCCCUAGGGCGUGGUGUUGGGGAUCGGCCAAAGCCCGCAAGGGACGGCCGGCCCCUAAAUCUAGUGGCGGACCCGUCGUGGCCUCCCCUGCGAAGUAGUGAUAUUCCGCAUAGGAGAAGCGACGAGCCCCUGCCGUUAAACCCCCCACUUUCUCAGGUUGACCUCAGAUCAGGUAGGAAUACCCGCUGAACUUAAGCAUAUCAAUAAGCGGAGGA
RNAcentral lists this unclassified non-coding RNA (349 nucleotides) under soil metagenome. Its description in RNAcentral is "partial contains 5.8S ribosomal RNA, internal transcribed spacer 2, and large subunit ribosomal RNA". The stretch from base 1 to 120 matches the Rfam family "5.8S ribosomal RNA", at positions 35 to 154 of the family's 154-position model. The record is from RNAcentral.